Molecule: ribosomal RNA, 307 nt
Filed under: uncultured organism
Description: bacterial SSU rRNA
Rfam family: Bacterial small subunit ribosomal RNA
Source: RNAcentral
AAGAGUGACAGGUGGUGCAUGGUUGUCGUCAGCUCGUGUCGUGAGAUGUUGGGUUAAGUCCCGCAACGAGCGCAACCCUUAAGCUUAGUUGCCAUCAUUAAGUUGGGCACUUAAGUUGACUGCCGGUGACAAACCGGAGGAAGGUGGGGAUGACGUCAAAUCAUCAUGCCCCUUAUGAUUUGGGCUACACACGUGCUACAAUGGACAAUACAAAGGGUAGCGAAACCGCGAGGUCAAGCAAAUCCCAUAAAGUUGUUCUCAGUUCGGAUUGUAGUCUGCAACUCGACUAUAUGAAGAUGGAAUCGCU